AUAGGGUCUAUUCCCCCACCUGCCUCCCCUCUUCCUGCGAAGGCACAGUCGUGCCCAGAGCCGUGCAGAGGCACUGGCUGGGGCUCCAUUCACAGGCUGCCUCUGAAAUCUGGGGCAGAGGGUGCCCAAGCAGCUCAAUGUCUCCUUUAUGUCUCACUUCUGGCAGCUUUUGGACGCUGUGCGGAAGAGUUGGAGGAGGCUGGUGCAUCCCCAGAGACGUGGCCGAGUGUGGCGACAGCCGCGAUGAGCCAGUUCUCCUAUUCCGCUAUGGAAUCCACCACCUCUGCCCUCUGGAGUCCCAGCUCCUUUUCCCUGAGAGAAGCCGCCAUCAUUCAGUAGGAGCCCCUCUGCCACACAGGGGAGAUCAUGCCCUUUGCGAGCUGGGAAGGAUCCACUCAUCCCAUCCAAGCCCAGCCUCUCUCCAGGUCUCCUGCCCAGAGCAGACAAGACCGGGGAGAGCAGACCACGGGUCUGGACCAGACGUCAGUCCAUAGCUCAGACUUCAACAUCCGGCAGAAGCAUCUGCAGAGGCGACUGGGGGCUCCACAAACCCCCAUCCCGGGGGAGCCAUUGCUGGGUGAGGGGGACACCAAGCAGCAAUUGGAAGUAGACCCAGAUCCAUCCAAAUGUGGAUUUCCAGCAAAGGUCCCGGAGCCCUUCAGAUCCAACACCAGCCCUCAGCGUGCACAGGAGAUCCAGGAGCCAUGUGUCUGCCCCCGGGGACCCCUUCCCCAAAAGGCCCACAGGAUCAUGGCAUCCCCUGAUGCCAUCCUGGCCAGCCUUGUGCCCACAGCGGUGGUCAAGCUGCAGGAUCACAUGGCUCAGAAAUGCUGGCAGAUCCAAACGAAGGCCUUUCCUAAGAUGGUGCGAGAGUUGCACAGAGAUGCUCCCCUCCGGAGAGAGACUGCCCUGCCUGGGCCAUUCCACCCCCCUAGGGAGCCUGGCAAGCACAGGACAGCGGCAUUCCCAACGAUGGGACAACAGCCUGCCCACCCUAUCAAACUCCACAUAAGGCAUCAGCAUCCGGUCAUGCAGAGGGGGCUGCUCACCCUGGACCCAGAGCCCCUGGCAAAGCUGCCUCACGCCGUCCCAGCCAGGGGAGCCCGUGUGGAGUUCAGUGAGAUGGAGACCGAUUUCCUGCAGACGGGGAGGCGAAGCACAAGCUCCUCUUCUUCCACACGUCCUCCAACGCCAGUGGAAGAUAUCACCCUGUAGACGGGCAGGAAUGAUGGCGCGGCAGGAAAGCAGACUAACCCACAGCGCUGCACUGUGCCGGCAGGGGUGGGUCUGACAUCGCCACCUCCAGGAACCACAGUAGCAGAGAAGACACUCGCAGCGACACUCCAAAUGUAUAGGAGCGAGUUGAGAAAGCCCCUUACCAGUGUGAGCGGCACCAAAGGGACUGAAGAGAAGCUGGAGCUGCACAUGGAGAGGAAGGUUCUCUUGGGAGAAGGCUCCUGCCUGCAGCCAGGGGCACAAGCAGGUGAGAGCAGGGCAGAUCCUCCCAGGACCCAAUGGCACCAGGUUGCCCCAGAGGCACCAGGCUCUGAGCAGUUGCACACGGCCUGCAGAUCAAGCAGCUGACGGAAAUGUUGAGCAGCUCCCGCCCCUUGGCGAGCCAGGUCUCAGUUUGCCAGCAGUGCCGCAAGGCAUAUCCAGGAAAGAGGAAGGGUGAGAAAACUCCAAAGGAGACAUCUGCUGAGCUGCAUGGUGUUCGAGACAUCAUGCAUUCACAUGGGUUCAAUGGAACUGUGAAUUCAAAGCUCUCCAGGGACCAGCCACCAAUCAGAGUCUGCGAGAAGUGUAGUAAGCAUCGACAAAAGAGACCAGCUGGCUCUGCAGGUGCUGACUUGCCGGGAAGAUCCCAUGGAAUUCCACAGCGAUGGACUCCAGGAGACUCCUCAGCAUCAUCCAACCACAAUAAGAUGCCAGUGCUGUGGCUCCUUCCAGCAGACAAGAGCAAGACGCAGGAUGGAAUGGGGAAAAGGGCUCCCCGCAAGCAACCAAAGAUGGUGUCCGUUGCAACGAGUACAACAGGGCUUUUGCAAGCUGGGGAGAAAGCAAGUUGGAGUCCUGACGGUUCUCCCUCAAAGUCACCAAAGGCCUCCAGAGCUAGGACACCAUCCCCUUCAAGGAGCAAAGUUCUCCAAAAGAUGUUCAUGUGCCUGAAGCAAACCUUCAGCAAGCUGCAACACAAAGUGAAGUCCCGAAUGUCCAAGGACCCUCGAUCCAGAACACCUGACACUAAAUUUACAAAGCCACCCUUUUGGAAGGCAAGGGCCUCCAAGGGUGUACGGUUUCCAUACUACUGAAUCUCACCCUGCCAGCAUGCCCAAUACCAGAAAAGGCCCACAAAUUCCAACCUCUCCCUAUCAUCCAGUGGGCCCGGUAAGCAUGGGCUAAAGUGGCUGAGAAGAAUGGCUUGUUGUCCUGGGACACAGAGACUGAUAUAUAAGUGUGUCUCCUUGGGGUAUGACAUUUAAACCGAGAUUCCAAGAUGAAGGGGGGCCUGGGAGCUUGGAUGAGAUUGAGCGUUCAAGAAUCAAUCCUUCCUUCAAGAAGAGCUGACACUAAAUUUACAAAGCCACCCUUUUGGAAGGCAAGGGCCUCAAAGUGUGUCCAGUAGUACUAUUAGGGCCCUACCAUCAAUCAAACACAAACCGGCCCUUUGCCUCCUAAAACCCCGCCCCUUGACCCCUUACACCCCGCCCACCUAUCACCAGAAGUCCCACCCACAGGGUAUUACUUCCAGGGUCAAGGAGGACACAUGACCGGAAGCAAAGUAUGUCAUGUGACCCCUCUAAGAACUCCUCCCACUGCCCUCUACCAAUCAGGAGAGGUUUCGCCCUCAUAGGCCUACCCGGAGAGGGGAUUUGACCAAUCAGGGGUGUUCCAGGGUGGGGUAACCCAUCCGGAUGUGGCUCGUGUGACCCCUCUAAGAACUCCUCCCACUGCACUCUACCAAUCGCGAUGGGUUUCGGCCGCAUAGGACCAACCUGAGAGCAGAUUUGACCAAUCGGUGGUGUUCCGGGACGGGGUGACCUGUCCAGAUGAGGGUCGUGUGACCCUUCUAAGAACUCCUCCCAGCGCCCUCUGCCAGUCAGAGCGCAACACUAUCACCCCAUAAGUCCCAGCACCAGGGCAGAAGAGGCCAUCUUUUACCAAGGAUGCGUGCUUUAGAAAUCGUGGAAGCAUGGACUCCUUCACCACCCCGUGAGUACUUUGGACUUUGUGUUAGCCCCGAGGGCCUUUGGACUUGUGUGGAGAAAGCGCUACAUGAGCGACAGUUCCCACAAGGGACCUUUGACUCAGCCAUUGAUGGAUACGCUGGAACCCGAAACCCAAACUCUCGUGAGGCACACCGAUGAGUGUGAUGGCCUCUCAUUUUCCACCCCCCUAGAGGUGGAAGGUGAACGCAGCUCAGGGGAAUCAUCGGAGGACAAGGUGAACGGAAAAGACAUUGCUCAGCUUGACGAUGCCUUUCUAGAGGACCCAGAGGCCCUGGACAGCAUUGCAUCAAGCAGCGAAGAUGAACCGGGCUCUCCUUGUUUUUGCUCAAUGCCGGUACAAAUUGUUGAAGAGGACUCCAAGGAUGACGGCUAUGAGGAGUUUAGGAGACUUGGCAUGGAACUAACUGAGCCAAGGCCACGUCGUGAGCGUAAAAAAGUCACACGGACUAUUGUACGCGUUGAUGUUUAUGCUGUCCUUAAUCAGUGCCUUAGGGAAAAGCUUUUUGAAGAUUGUGAGGGCUGUGUGAUAGAUGCGGCAGCCCAA
Mauremys reevesii (Reeves's turtle) is the source of this 3774-nucleotide RNA transcript. RefSeq lists it as uncharacterized. NCBI's taxonomy places the organism in Eukaryota, Metazoa, Chordata, Testudines, Geoemydidae. The transcript has 3 exons. The record is from RefSeq and is a predicted model, not a curated record.